CUUCAGAUUGUAAGGAAUCGUACCCCAAACCGACACAGGUGGUCGGGUAGAGAAUACCAAGGCGCUUGAGAGAACUCGGGUGAAGGAACUAGGCAAAAUGGUACCGUAACUUCGGGAGAAGGUACGCUCUUGAUGGUGAAGUCCCUUGCGGAUGGAGCUGACGAGAGUCGCAGAUACCAGGUGGCUGCAACUGUUUAUUAAAAACACAGCACUGUGCAAAAUCGUAAGAUGACGUAUACGGUGUGACGCCUGCCCGGUGCCGGAAGGUUAAUUGAUGGGGUUAGCGUAAGCGAAGCUCUUGAUCGAAGCCCCGGUAAACGGCGGCCGUAACUAUAACGGUCCUAAGGUAGCGAAAUUCCUUGUCGGGUAAGUUCCGACCUGCACGAAUGGCGUAAUGAUGGCCACGCUGUCUCCACCCGAGACUCAGUGAAAUUGAAAUCGCUGUGAAGAUGCAGUGUACCCGCGGCUAGACGGAAAGACCCCGUGAACCUUUACUACAGCUUGGCACUGAACAUUGAACCUACAUGUGUAGGAUAGGUGGGAGGCUUUGAAGACGUGACGCCAGUUGCGUUGGAGCCGUCCUUGAAAUACCACCCUUGUAUGUUUGAUGUUCUAACGUUGGCCCCUAAUCGGGGUUGCGGACAGUGCCUGGUGGGUAGUUUGACUGGGGCGGUCUCCUCCCAAAGAGUAACGGAGGAGCACGAAGGUGGGCUAAUCACGGUUGGACAUCGUGAGGUUAGUGCAAUGGCAUAAGCCCGCUUAACUGCGAGAAUGACGGUUCGAGCAGGUGCGAAAGCAGGUCAUAGUGAUCCGGUGGUUCUGAAUGGAAGGGCCAUCGCUCAACGGAUAAAAGGUACUCCGGGGAUAACAGGCUGAUACCGCCCAAGAGUUCAUAUCGACGGCGGUGUUUGGCACCUCGAUGUCGGCUCAUCACAUCCUGGGGCUGAAGUCGGUCCCAAGGGUAUGGCUGUUCGCCAUUUAAAGUGGUACGCGAGCUGGGUUUAGAACGUCGUGAGACAGUUCGGUCCCUAUCUGCCGUGGGCGUUGGAAGAUUGAAGGGGGCUGCUCCUAGUACGAGAGGACCGGAGUGGACGAACCUCUGGUGUUCGGGUUGUGUCGCCAGACGCAUUGCCCGGUAGCUAAGUUCGGAAUCGAUAACCGCUGAAAGCAUCUAAGCGGGAAGCGAGCCCUGAGAUGAGUCUUCCCUGAUACUUUAAGUAUCCUGAAGGGUUGUUCGAGACUAGAACGUUGAUAGGCAGGGUGUGUAAGCGCUGUGAGGCGUUGAGCUAACCUGUACUAAUUGCCCGUGAGGCUUAACCAUACAACACCCAAAGGGUUUUG
RNAcentral lists this ribosomal RNA (1341 nucleotides) under Vibrio vulnificus. RNAcentral's name for it is "partial 23S ribosomal RNA". It matches the Rfam family "Bacterial large subunit ribosomal RNA", at positions 1625 to 2925 of the family's 2925-position model. Lineage: Bacteria; Pseudomonadati; Pseudomonadota; Gammaproteobacteria; Vibrionales; Vibrionaceae. The record is from RNAcentral.